Molecule: unclassified non-coding RNA, 666 nt
Filed under: uncultured Prochlorococcus sp.
Lineage: Bacteria; Bacillati; Cyanobacteriota; Cyanophyceae; Synechococcales; Prochlorococcaceae
Description: partial may contain 16S ribosomal RNA, 16S-23S ribosomal RNA intergenic spacer, and 23S ribosomal RNA
Rfam family: Bacterial small subunit ribosomal RNA (bases 1-98)
Source: RNAcentral
AACCCUUGUGGAGGAGGACGCCGAAGGUGGGGCUAAUGACUGGGGUGAAGUCGUAACAAGGUAGCCGUACCGGAAGGUGCGGCUGGAUCACCUCCUAACAGGGAGACAACAAAAUGUUUAAUAUUAAUUUUGUCACCUUAGGUCGAUCGGUAUCUCAGGUUCUUAAUUCUAUUAAGAAUUUCAAUUCCUAAGUUUUUUCUAGGUCACACCCAUUACUUUUCCUGGGCCAUUAGCUCAGGUGGUUAGAGCGCACCCCUGAUAAGGGUGAGGUCCCUGGUUCAAGUCCAGGAUGGCCCAUAUCUCUAUGUUGGGGGUAUAGCUCAGUUGGUAGAGCGCCUGCUUUGCAAGCAGGAUGUCAGCGGUUCGAGUCCGCUUACCUCCACUGAAUACCACCUCUUUCAUAACGUGAAAAGGAAUUGUUUUAGAUGUGAUAUUUCUGGACGAAUCCAGCUUCCUAAUACUUAACAGAACUAUUAAGAUGCUGGACUCAUUGAAUUUUAUUCAUUGUUUUCAGAGAACCUUGACAACUGCAUAGAUUAUUUUUAAAGACAAUAAGCAUCUUUAAUGAUGCAGAUUUAUUAUUUUUGCUAUUGCAUUAAUAACAAUUCUAUUGAGCUGAUGCUUCAAUUUUUGAAGUUAUUGGUCAAGCUACAAAGGGCUCACGGA